RNAcentral lists this ribosomal RNA (597 nucleotides) under Trichosporon asteroides. RNAcentral's name for it is "eukaryotic LSU rRNA". It matches the Rfam family "Eukaryotic large subunit ribosomal RNA", at positions 72 to 658 of the family's 3401-position model. The record is from RNAcentral. Lineage: Eukaryota; Fungi; Basidiomycota; Tremellomycetes; Trichosporonales; Trichosporonaceae.
GGAUUCCCCUAGUAACGGCGAGUGAAGCGGGAAGAGCUCAAAUUUGAAAUCUGGCAGUCUUCGAUUGUCCGAGUUGUAAUCUAUAGAGGCGUUUUCCGUGCCGGACCGUGUCCAAGUCUCCUGGAAAGGAGUAUCAAAGAGGGUGAUAAUCCCGUACUUAACACGACCACCGGUGCUCUGUGAUACGUCUUCUACGAGUCGAGUUGUUUGGGAAUGCAGCUCAAAAUGGGUGGUGAAUUCCAUCUAAAGCUAAAUAUUGGCGAGAGACCGAUAGCGAACAAGUACCGUGAGGGAAAGAUGAAAAGCACUUUGGAAAGAGAGUUAAACAGUACGUGAAAUUGUUGAAAGGGAAACGAUUGAAGUCAGUCGUGUUCUUUGGAUUCAGCCAGUUCUGCUGGUCUACUUCCUUGGAACGGGUCAACAUCAGUUUUGUCCGGUGGAUAAAGGUAGUAGGAAUGUGACUUCUCCGGAAGUGUUAUAGCCUAUUAUCACAUACACUGGGUGAGACUGAGGACUGCAGCUCGCCUUUAUGGCCGGUCUUCGGACACGUUCGAGCUUAGGAUGUUGACAUAAUGGCUUUAAACGACCCGUCUGAAA